UACGAAGGGGGCUAGCGUUGCUCGGAAUUACUGGGCGUAAAGGGCGCGUAGGCGGAUAGUUUAGUCAGAGGUAAAAGCCCAGGGCUCAACCUUGGAACUGCCUUUGAUACUGGCUAUCUUGAGUUCGGGAGAGGUGAGUGGAAUGCCGAGUGUAGAGGUGAAAUUCGUAGAUAUUCGGCGGAACACCAGUGGCGAAGGCGACUCACUGGCCCGAUACUGACGCUGAGGAGCGAAAGCGUGGGGAGCAAACAGG
RNAcentral lists this ribosomal RNA (253 nucleotides) under uncultured bacterium. RNAcentral describes it as "partial 16S ribosomal RNA". It matches the Rfam family "Bacterial small subunit ribosomal RNA", at positions 524 to 776 of the family's 1533-position model. The record is from RNAcentral.